This 996-nucleotide long non-coding RNA is filed under the name Hordeum vulgare. Its description in RNAcentral is "long non-coding RNA (HVUL_LNC013377)". The record is from RNAcentral. Lineage: Eukaryota; Viridiplantae; Streptophyta; Magnoliopsida; Poales; Poaceae.
ACAUAUAUUUGGCAACACAAUUAUCCAUCACAUGCUCUCAUGCAAAGUAUGAUUUUAUGCUUGAGUUGUUAUCAGCAUAAUAAAAUCACGCAUCCCCAUGCACCACAACAAACAUCACACAUCUUAAGACAGAUUGGAGUUCAAGAUGCUUGCCUUUGGAGUUGAGGAGGGUGGUAUGCACCCCCAAAAUCUUGAAGGAAGUUUCCUCUCUCCAAAUUCCUAUUUUGAAAAUAUUUAAAUUAACACACAAUUUUAAAACAGCACAUAAAAGUUGUUUGAAUAUUUUUUAAAUAAAUCUUAAAAAAAAUAGAGGAAAUUUUAGAGAGGUGGGAAAAAGAAUAAAUUCAUUUGGAGUUUUAUUUAAAAAGUUGUGGCUAGUCAAAUAUUCUGGUCAAACCUGAUUUUUAAACCAAUUAUAAAAGAAAACACUUCGGCCAGGAACACGCUUCCGAGCAGAGAACGCGUACUUACUGAAACAGUACGAUAAACUAUGCUUUAUUGAAAGGGAAACACAUCAGGAGGGGUGCGCCACUCGGGGGCUUAGUUGGCUCAUCGACAGGUAGGGGCCACCUGUCGGGUUUGUCCUGUACCUCCCGUGGCAGAACCAGGGCGGCGCUCCGGUGCUCCUCGCUGGUGACUAGCUGCAGCUCUCGUGCGCUGAGGCACAGGAAUGGAUCUAGGGGGUCCUGGCGAUCCUCCUGGUAGUCUCCACGGGCGUGCAGGUGGAGGGACUUGCCGGUGACGCAGGCUCCGGCGGACGGUAGCGUCGGCUUCUGAGAGGGCUCUGCAUUCGGUGGUCCUUGGCACUCGUGGCUACGGGGAAAAUGUCCUACUGGCCGCCAGGGUCCGAAUGAGGAGAAGUCUGGCGCGGGGAGGCACUAGCUACGACGGAUUUCACCCGGAGCUCUCCCGCGGUUGCGGUGGCCGGAGACGGAAAAGACGACCAGCAGGGUCAAAUUGCCUUCCUGGGAGGCUCACUACGGGCUGAUAGAGGAC